RNAcentral lists this ribosomal RNA (644 nucleotides) under Beltraniopsis longiconidiophora. Its description in RNAcentral is "eukaryotic LSU rRNA". It matches the Rfam family "Eukaryotic large subunit ribosomal RNA", at positions 81 to 756 of the family's 3401-position model. Lineage: Eukaryota; Fungi; Ascomycota; Sordariomycetes; Xylariales. The record is from RNAcentral.
UAGUAACGGCGAGUGAAGCGGGAACAGCUCAAAUUUGAAAUCUGGCCUUCGGGUCCGAAUUGUAAUUUGUAAAGGAUGCUUUUGGUUAGGUACUUUCCGAGUUCCCUGGAACGGGACGCCUUAAAGGGUGAGAGCCCCGUACGGUUGGAUACCGAGCCUUUGUAAAGCUCCUUCGACGAGUCGAGUAGUUUGGGAAUGCUGCUCUAAAUGGGAGGUAAAUUUCUUCUAAAGCUAAAUACUGGCCAAAGACCGAUAGCGCACAAGUAAAGUGAUCGAAAGAUGAAAAGCACUUUGAAAAGAGGGUUAAAUAGCACGUGAAAUUGUUGAAAGGGAAGCGUUUAUGACCAAACUUUUUCCAGGCGGAUCAUCCGGUGUUCUCACCGGUGCACUUCGUCUGGUUGAGGCCAGCAUCGGUUUUCGUGGGGGGAUAAAAGUAGUAGGAAUGUGACUCCUCCGGGAGUGUUAUAGCCUAUUGUAUAAUACCGCCAUGGGGACCGAGGUUCGCGCAUCUGCAAGGAUGCUGGCGUAAUGGUCAUCAACGACCCGUCUUGAAAACGGACCAAGGAGUCGAAAUUUGUGCGAGUGUUUGGGUGUUAACCCUCCCCGUAAUGAAAGUGAAGGAGGUGAGAGCCCUACGGGGGCUC